RNAcentral lists this ribosomal RNA (573 nucleotides) under uncultured archaeon. RNAcentral's name for it is "bacterial SSU rRNA". It matches the Rfam family "Archaeal small subunit ribosomal RNA", at positions 742 to 1312 of the family's 1478-position model. The record is from RNAcentral.
UAGUCCAGGCUGUAAACGAUGCGGGCUAGGUGUCACCGGAGCUACGAGCUCCGGUGGUGCCGGAGGGAAGCCGUUAAGCCCGCCGCCUGGGAAGUACGGCCGCAAGGCUGAAACUUAAAGGAAUUGGCGGGGGAGCACUACAACGGGUGGAGCCUGCGGUUUAAUUGGAUUCAACGCCGGGAAGCUUACCGGGGGAGACAGCGGGAUGAAGGUCGGGCUGAAGACCUUACCAGACUAGCUGAGAGGUGGUGCAUGGCCGCCGUCAGUUCGUACUGUGAAGCAUCCUGUUAAGUCAGGCAACGAGCGAGACCCGCGCCCUCAGUUGCCAGCGGGUCCCUUCGGGGACGCCGGGCACACUGAGGGGACUGCCGGCGCUAAGCCGGAGGAAGGUGCGGGCAACGGCAGGUCCGUAUGCCCCGAAUCCCCCGGGCUACACGCGGGCUACAAUGGCCGGGACAAUGGGUACCGACCCCGAAAGGGGUGGGUAAUCUCCUAAACCCGGUCUAACCUGGGAUCGAGGGCUGCAACUCGCCCUCGUGAACCUGGAAUCCGUAGUAAUCGCGUCUCAAAAUG